UACGUAGGGGGCAAGCGUUGUCCGGAAUCAUUGGGCGUAAAGAGCGUGUAGGCGGCCAGGUAGGUCUGCUGUGAAAACUCGAGGCUUAACCUCGAGCUGUCGGCGGAAACCAUCUGGCUAGAGUCCGGAAGAGGAGAAUGGAAUUCCCGGUGUAGCGGUGAAAUGCGCAGAUAUCUGGAGGAACACCGGUGGCGAAGGCGGCAUCCUGGACCGGUAUUGACGCUGAGGCGCGAAAGCUAGGGGAGCAAACGGG
This 253-nucleotide ribosomal RNA is filed under the name uncultured bacterium. Its description in RNAcentral is "partial 16S ribosomal RNA". It matches the Rfam family "Bacterial small subunit ribosomal RNA", at positions 524 to 776 of the family's 1533-position model. The record is from RNAcentral.